Long non-coding RNA from Abrus precatorius (Indian licorice), 716 nucleotides. RefSeq lists it as uncharacterized. Lineage: Eukaryota; Viridiplantae; Streptophyta; Magnoliopsida; Fabales; Fabaceae. The transcript is spliced from 2 exons. The record is from RefSeq and is a predicted model, not a curated record.
CAGGUGAUCACACAUCCUACUUCCCAAGAAACCACACAAAAGGAAGGCACAGAGCAUUCAACAGAGUAAAAUGGCUCAUGUGCUUCAUAAAUAAGCAAAACAUGAUACGCAAAUUAAAUUUCCACAACCAGCACUAAUUAUCACAACAACAUAAUACAGCAUAUCCACGAUCUCCUGUUACUCCAACCUAUAAUGCCUCGCCACUGCUAACCAUAUAUCAUUUAUCAAGACACCGCGGCAUUCCGCAACACUCAUGUUUUAUGAAUAAUGCUGGGUGUCUGCCCCUUGAUUUCCUGAAUCAUAUUCUAUCCUCCGCUUUAUGAGAUGACGAACUCCAUCAGUGCAAUACAGUGAUUCCUCAUCAUUUAUCCUCAGACCCCAUAUUGAAUUUCCAUUAUCCAUAUAUUGACCCAAUUGCUUGUUUUCAACUGGUCAAACCUUAGUAUUAUAGAUACAAGAGUUACAUUAUCUGGUUUGGGUACCUACCUGGCUGACAUCAGUUUUUGGUAAAUCUGAACAGAGUGGGGAAUCAGAGACAAGUGGACAUGGGCUUUGUUGAGGAUUGAGGGCAACAGAGCUACAACGUUUAGCAACCCAAGGUUGAGGUUGUUUCUCAGAGGGAAGUUUACCAUUCACUGUCACACAGCUCAGCUGUGCGGUUCAUAAACAUAAUUCAGAUUAGGCUUACUGUCCUACCCGAGGACUUCGCACCUUUG